This 384-nucleotide ribosomal RNA is filed under the name Lampsilis radiata. Its description in RNAcentral is "partial 16S ribosomal RNA". The stretch from base 55 to 384 matches the Rfam family "Bacterial large subunit ribosomal RNA", at positions 2048 to 2607 of the family's 2925-position model. Lineage: Eukaryota; Metazoa; Mollusca; Bivalvia; Unionida; Unionidae. The record is from RNAcentral.
AGUGAAUGGCAAGACUAGGGAUAUCUGUACCCUGUAUAGAAAAACAACUUUUCAUCUGGGUGAAAAGACCCAAAUGACAAAGGAAGACGAAAAGACCCCGCGGAACUUUACCUUUUCCGGUCUCCACAUGCUCAGAAACAUUGGAACAAAAGGUUUGAUUGGGGCAAUCUCGGAACCACCAAAACUUCCGACUUAUAAGAAAAAAGUAUAUAAAACUUAAUAAGGACCAAAAAGAAGUUACCCCGGGGAUAACAGCGUAAUCCAACUUGAGAGUACACAUCGAAAGCUGGGUUUGCGACCUCGAUGUUGGCUUAAGGAUAUCCACAUAAGUGCAACCGCUAUGAUAGGACAGUCUGUUCGACUAUUAUACCCUUACACGAGCUG